CUACAUGAAGCUGGAAUCGCUAGUAAUCGCGAAUCAGAAUGUCGCGGUGAAUACGUUCCCGGGUCUUGUACACACCGCCCGUCACACCAUGGGAGUCGGAAAUGCCCGAAGUCAGUGACCCAACCGUAAGGAGGGAGCUGCCGAAGGUGGAGCCGGUAACUGGGGUGAAGUCGUAACAAGGUAAC
This 185-nucleotide ribosomal RNA is filed under the name uncultured bacterium. RNAcentral's name for it is "partial 16S ribosomal RNA". It matches the Rfam family "Bacterial small subunit ribosomal RNA", at positions 1316 to 1500 of the family's 1533-position model. The record is from RNAcentral.